Long non-coding RNA from Alligator mississippiensis (American alligator), 15027 nucleotides. RefSeq lists it as uncharacterized. Lineage: Eukaryota; Metazoa; Chordata; Crocodylia; Alligatoridae. The transcript is spliced from 19 exons. The record is from RefSeq and is a predicted model, not a curated record.
AAAGACUUUACUUGUAUAAGGAGUAAAAAGAAGGUGCCAUGGUAGCAUAGGAACCCUACAGGACAAACUAGGGUAAAUAGUGAUAGGUGGGGUGAGCGGGGCAAGGUUGAGCUCUUCAGUGAGUUUUUUGCUUCUGUAUUCCUGAACAUGGAACAGGACAGGUCUCCCAGUUGGAUGCUAGACAGGCAUAAAAGGGACACCAGCCCACCAAGUGUUUGUGCCAACUUGGUGAAGAGGCACUUGGAAAGACUGGGUGUGUUUAAGUCAGCAGACCCACGUGAUCUUCAUCCAAGGGUGCCAAAGGAUUUGGCAGCAUUAUAGGAGAGCCCCGACACAGCUGUUUGAGCACUCGUGGCACUCGGGUCAGGUCCCAGAGGGCUGGAAAAGGGCCAGUGCGGUCCCUACCUUUAAGAAAGGAAAGGAGGAUCCGGGUAACUAGACACCAGUUAGUCUCACUUCUGUUCUGAGGAAAACCUUUGAAAAGAUUAAGGAUCACAUUUGUGGGAGUCCUGGAAGGUGGGGGGAUGCUGAAGGGCAGUGAGCACAUAUUCAUAGCAGGUAGAUCCUGCCUGACUAACCUUGUUUCUUUUUAUGACCAGGUCACAAAAUGCUUACACACAGGAAUUGAGGUAGAUGUCAUCUACUUGCAUUUUAAGAAGGCCUUCAAUAUGGUAUCUCAUUCUAAUGUCAUUAAUAAACUGAGCCGCUGUCACGUAGAUGAUUACACGAUCAGGUGGGUGGCAAAAUGGCUCAGCGUCAUACCCAGAGAAUGGCGGUGGAUGGGUCGGUAUCGACCUGGAAAGAUGUGGGCAGUGGAGUCUGACAAGGCUCGGUCCUUCGACCUGUGCUGUUUAAUGUCUUCGUGAGUCACUUGGAUGAGGGCGUGGAAAGCACUCUGUCCAAAUAUGCAGAUGAUACCAAAUUUAUGGGUAACGUUAACAUGCUAAAGCAGAGGUCCUCAAACUGUGGUCUCUGGACCAGCGCUGGUCCACAAGCUCCAUGUAGGUGGUCCUCAGAAAGGUUGCAGAACAAUUGAGAAUCUCUGCGUUUGGCCCUGCAGUUGAUUACUUUUUUUUCCGGUGACGGAGAUUAAGCGGUCCGCUGAGACCCUCGGCAAUUUUCAAGCGGUCCGUGCAAAACAAAGUUUGAGAGCCGGUGCGCUAGAGGGUUGGGACCAAAUCUGUGGGCACCUGGGCAGGUUGGAAAAAUGGGCAGACCAGAAUAGGAUGCAGUUGAACAAAGACAAGUGCAAAGUGCUGCACCUAGGGAGAAGGACUCACCGGCACGCUUACAGGCUGCGGGAGGGCUUUCUCAGCAUCAGAGCAGCGGAAAGGGAUCUCGGAGUCAGCGUUGAUACCGAGAUGAGCGUGAGUUGUCAACGUGACAAAGCGAUUGGUAAAGCUAACUGCACUUUAUCAUGUGUUCGCAGGUGCAGGACAAACAGGUCCAGGGAGGUGAUGCUUACCCUCUACGCGACAUUGGUCGAGCUGCAGUUGGAGUACUCUGUCCGGUUUUGGACGCCACACUUCAAGAGGGAUGUGGACAACCUUGUGAGGGUUCAGAGGAGGGCAAAAGCUAGUCCUUGCGCUCCUGUCCUUGGAACCAGCUUAUCAGCGAGGAAGCGCAGCGUGACAUUCGGAACCAAAAGGCCCGGAGUAGAAGGGCCCCCGACAUCCGUCGCAUCUGCAACGGGUCCCUGCGUGAGCUACUGAGAAACGAGCGUUUGGGGUCCGCACCGGUCUCUCGGAAACAUCCGAGCCAGCCCUGGCAGCAGGUGCCUGUGCGUUCCUGCCUCGUACGCGGUCAGGGAACGCUACGCACCAGCAGUUGCCUCGGCUUCUGACCGGACGCACGCCGUUUGCUUGCAAGCAUCCAAAGCUAGCACCUCCAGCGGCUGCAGCUGUUGCUUCCCAACUACUAGGAGAGCCUUGCAAAAGCAAUGGCCUGCCCCUGGGCCAGGCUGAUACCAGUGGCUCAGACCCAGAGACUUGCUGUUGUACCUCCCGGUGUCUGGAUUAGGUGUCGAGCACUUGGAACUCUGGCAGCUUCAGCACAUAUUAACCUCUCGUCCUCCUGUGGCCAACACCACGGAGCCCGUGACCCUAAUGUUUCUGUCAGCCUCUGUCCCACCCUUCCCCUGAAGGCCUCCCGUGAAAUCCCUUGUCCCAUCACAGUCUGCAGGUUGGCUCCAGCGGUAUUUCCCAGCUGCACGUGGAGAGUUGCAAGGGAGUGUCAGCGAGGAGCUGCAGCGUGAAAGAAGUGGGACUUGGAAAUAUCCAAGGGACCACGGGUAACAGUUUGACGGGCGUCACGUAGACUCGUUUUGCUGAAACUUUGGGAACGGGACCGAACCCAUUUUCCUGUGCGCUUGGACCUGCAGAUGGCUGGGGCCCGUGUCCCUGGGGAAACUCCGAGUCUGGAAGGGAGGAACACUGCUCAUCUCUCUCCCUGCCUGCCUGGGAACGCUCCUUGCCUUGUGUUUGUUAGACUCUGCCAUUUAGACCUAUUUUAACUUGUAACAGGGUCACAAAACCAAAUGCCAGUUGCUGCUCGUAGCUGCCGUUUCCCAUCGUUCCAGAAAGCAGCUACUCGCUCUUGGUCUUGUCUGGUAUUAAAGUCUUGAGAAACAGAAUUUUAUUCCACUUUUUUUGGCCGUUCCUUGGGAUGUAAGUGUAGGCUCACGGCCUAUUCCUUGUAUGCCAGCUUAAGCACGUGUCGUUCUUAAGUUAGGCUUCUGGUAGGUGUGUAGUCUGCAAUACUGAGCGUGGUCUGUCAGGCCCUGACCAUAUUUUCAGUUUACACCGAGGGGAAUCUGCCCAUAGCCUUCCUUCCCCUUUCUCAUCACCAUCUUCGUAACAUCCCUGCCUCUUUACUUGUCGCUCAUUUCAGGAGCUGUUGUGUGCCAGUGCUUCUGUUCCCUGGUGCUUUCCCCGGGUACCCACCCUGUCUCCUGUACGUGGUGGAGGACCGGUUUAAGGAGUUGCACGGAGGGCCUCACAGAAGUCCUGUGUGGUCACGGGUUUACAAUGAAGACUUGCAGCUGUGUGUUACUAUUUCUGGGGUGUGCCGUGUGUGAGGUGCAGCUGUCAGAGGAACGCUUUGGAGAUGUCGCUCACACAGGGAAGCAAAAUUGUUCUGCUCCCCACUACUGAGCUUUAAAGGGUGAUACCUGUGAGACAUCACAUCCCCUGUCCAAACCUGAGCCAUCUGAGCAGGGGAAGUGGCAUGGGAGCGGGGGCCAAGAUACCUGGUUGACAGCCCAGACUGCAAGUUGAAGGCUGCAAUGGAAGCGCUCAGAGUGUGGCCUGUCAGAUUCCAACAAAAUCUGUCAAGUCUUACAUGUAGCUUAUCACAAGGAAACGAAAAAGAAAAGGACAUGAGCAGGGGCCCAUGUUAGAGUCUUAGUGCAUUGGUCAGCGAUUGGGGGUGAGGGGUGCAUGUCCCUCCUUCACUGCUUGUGUGUUGACUGUCAUUGUUAAAGGACCAGGGUUGGGGGCGGGGGCAUUCUUGGCUGCUUGGCCAAGUGCCUGGGGGAAGAGCUAGGAGGGAGGGGGAGGUUCAGCAACCCCGGACUGGCCAGGUCUCCCCCUGCCUCCCACAGGGCUGCGCUACCUGCUACUGGCAGUGACUCUGCCUGGAGCAGUUGGCAGGCCCUUGUAAGCAGCCUGCACUGCUUGGGAGAUGUGGGCUGUGACACCUUGGUUUUCUGGACUGUGGUAAGAAAGCAAACAGCCUUGUAGUACAGGCUUCAGUUGUGGGACUGCACCCUGUUGUUGAGACCCCCCCCAGGGGCUUAUUUCUUGUAUGUCCAUGCAGGAUAGUUGGAGGGGUGGGGAAUGGAAGGAAGAGGCAUGGAUGAGACCUGCAUCUUCUGUUCAGCAAAUUUCUGUAAGUAAUGUUAGUACUACUAAUAUUAUCCCUGUUCUGAUUCUUACUAUUACUAUUAUUUGUUUUCCCAUAUACUUUGCCAACAAAGCACCUGGCAGGUCCAGUAAGAAAAGGAAGUUUCCAAACAGGUGACAGAAGGAAACCAAAUGAUUUAAGUAUGCAAGUGGUGGUGGUGGUGUUGGGAAGGUUCAGGAACCAUGGGGGAGGCAAGAUUUUUUGUUAUGUCUUUUGUGGCAACAACAGCACGGUUUGGACGGACAGAAGCAAGGUUUUAGGCAUCCCAGUCCCCUUUUUCAGUCCUGGUUCCUUCCCAGAAUCCUGAGGAAAGGUACUGUCAUACCCCAAAGGUUGCCUGUAUCUUACAGUUGGUCUGGUAAAACAGGGGUCAAAAAACCUAUGGCCUGUGGUUUGGAUCCAGUCUGUGAAGAAACUGGUUCUAGCCUGUAGCAGUUCAACCAAGGAGCAGCACACUCCCACGGUGACAGCAGCAGGGACAUCCCCAGCGGCCUGUUGCCACUGCGUUCAGUUUGUUCUUUGUGCUGCAGCAGAAGCAGCCUCCCCAGGGUCCCGGCCCCUGCCUCUUUCUUUUGAGUCCCUUCACAGCCUGUGGAGAUUGCCGGGGAGCAAGCUGUCACGUUGGCAACGGUGCACAACGGCAAAAGAACGGCCCUUCCCUGCAAGGAAAGAUUGCAUCUAACUCCGAGCGAGCAGAGCAGAGCAGAGCAUGGACACAGAGCGAGAUGCUCAUCUGUAGGGUAGUCUGGCCUUGCCGUUGCUAGGAGUGCCCAAGUAGGGAGGUGUUGGAAUAAUUUCUCAGCUUUUUCCCUAGAUCGCUCUAAGAGGAGAGGGGAGCGCUAAGCACACUUGGGUUCGUGCACGCUCCCCAUCGUUUUCAGAAGCGGACGGCAGGAGAAAGUUUGCGGUCAGCGAUAGCAGCACAAGGCCGCGCAACCAGGCUGGGGAACGUGGGGCUCUUUCCUAAACCAGGAGUGGCAGGACUUGCACAGCUUUGCCAGGAUCCUGGCUGUUGUGGAGAGACUUUGGGUUGGAGAUGGAUGCAAAGAAGUGGAGGCGUGCCAUGGUGAUGGAGGAUAGAGCAGGAGGAGUAGUGUGAUGGAAGGUGGACUUACCUCAAGCGGGGGUGGUGUUUUGAGUGGGGGUGUCUGGGUGGGCUGGGAAGUCCCUGCUCUGGGUUGGUGUCCUGAGCUGCACGCUCCCAGGGCAGGGCUACUCAAGCGGAGGGCCAUGGCACCCAGGAGUGCCUCUGAGAUGAGUGGUGUACGGCUGGGCUGGCUUGGCCCAGAGUUGCUCUGAGUCUGUGCAAAGAUCUCCAGGUUGCGGUGGGACAGAGGAUUGGGUCUCUGCCUGGCUGUACCUGUUGCCACAUGCCUCCUUUCAGUGCUGGGAAUUGCAUUUAUGUCUCAUCUCUCUGGGUGUGUCACUGGUGUCUGUCUUUGUACUUCUGUUCUUAAAAAUCACUGCAGCACUUGUUACUUUGUUCUUCCCAGGACUGAAAGGAGGGUUGUGUUUGCAUGUAAAUUGAUCCCCUCACUUGGGAGGGGUGUAGCUGCAGCCCCCUGCGGUUUGUUAGUGGGGCCAGUCCAAGCUGCUGUUGUACCCCUGGUUGGGAGGGAGGGGAUGCUGUCCCGUUGGUGGUGUGAGACCUGCGCAUAGCGCUGCAAGUGUUAAUUUCUGUUGUUCAUUUUUGGCGGUGUGGACAUGUUUGGCAAGAUGACCAAAGUCUGGUCCUGAGUGGAGAAGAGCUGAGGAAGAGGUGAAGAGCCCUGGAGCUGGUAUGGCGUGGAAGGAGUUGGAGACGGCCUGAAGCCAUGCUCACGUGAUCACCUGGAGCGAGCAGGUGCCUGCAUCGUAUCUGGGAAAGGGAUAGCAAGCAUGAGGACUGAUGGCGCACAAGGACUGAAGGCGCAGCGUGAUGCCAGGUGUGGAGCCAUCUUCUGAAGGCUUGAGGGCUGUGGAGCAGACUCUGUGAAGAUGAAGUGAAGAGUCCCAGAGAUGGUGCAGGAGGAAACGGGCAGCCCUGUUGUGACUUCCUGAUUUGCGUGGUGUGAGGCCUCUUCCCCUGUGGCAUCACCUGGCUGGAGUCUGGGGAGGUUUUGUGUGUAGCUUUGCAGGCGGUGCGUCUCCGCUCCCACUUCUUGCUGUGAGGAUGCCUGGAUAAGCAGCAGCAUGAUUGUGGCUGGGUGGCCUCAAUGUUGUGGGGGAGAGGAACAGAAGCGAGGCUUCUGCGGUGGUGGUAGAAGAUGGAGGAACUGGAUCCCGAAAGGUGGGCUGGGUUAAAGUGGGAGGCUGGGUUGCGUUUUCCCUGGUCGUGUUUGGGUGGGGAAGGAAACGCCUUGUGCGUAAUGGGGUCUGGAGCUCCGUGCUGUCUGGGAAGUGAUGCUGAAGCAGGGACUUGUGGCCCUUAGGGAUGCUGCAGAGCAGGGGGUGUAAGCCUGAAUUGGGUUUAGUUUGGUGGUGAGACCUGACUCCUUGUAAAGGCUGGAAAUUGUCCUUGAGUAUAUUAGGGGUUUCAGUGUUUGCCCCUGGCUUCUGGGUGCAGGUGACAGCAUUGGAUGUGCUGGGACAGAGGAGCGGGUGCGUGCGUGUCCGCCUCUGCCUGGCUGUUGCUGCUGCCACUGGUCUUCCUUCAGUUCUGGGAAUUGCACUCUGUCCUAUGUCUCUGGGUGUGUCACUGGUGUUUCUUUCUACUUUGAUAUCUAAAAUCACAGCAGCACUUGUUCUUUCUUUCUUUGCUCUUCCCAGAGCUGGAAGGAUAGGUGUGUUUGCAACUGAAUUGAUCCCCUCAUUUGGGUGGGCUUUGACUGCACCCUGUGUGCCUCGCGUGCGAGUGGGGGUGUUAUGCUUUCGGUGUCCUAGGCUGCUGGGGGUGGGGGGCGUUGUCUCUGCUGUCAGUACUAUGAGACGUGAAUACUGUUGCGUGUAGUAAUUGCUUGUUGUUUUGGGUGUGAUGUUAAUAUGUCGAGCGUGAGUGGAGAAGAGCUGAGGCGAAGAGACCUAGAGCCAGCGCUAGGUAGAAGCGGGUGGAGGAAGCAGGUGGUUGUGCAGCCAUGCUCGCUUCUGGGUCACGUGGAGGGAGGCCUCUGCCUGUUUGGUGGACCUGUGUGCAUGAGCAGAGCCUGCAGAGGUCCCUGCUUCCCCUGUGUGGAGAGGAUGGCAAGGAGGGAGGAGAGUGCGCCGGAGGAAGAGGAGCGCGAUGCCAGGUCCCAUGAGUGCUGUCUCUUGGGGUGAGGCCCUUCUCACAGAUGGAUGGGUGCACCCUGGGCAGGCACGUCUUGGAGAGCUGUGAGCUGGGGCCUGGGGUCCUGACCUGUGCAGAGGGAAAUGACUGCCGGUUGAAGGAGUGAAGCUGAGCAGCGCCCACGGAGGGUGAAGCAGGAGGAACUCGAUGCCGCACGGCGUGUCGGUGCCGGAUGGGCAGUUCUGGCAAUUGGUUUCUUUUUUUCUCCAGCCCAGUCCUGGGUGUUGGGCAUUGACUAGGUAGGGUAGACGACUGGAGAUCGAUCUGGAUGUUUCUGACUGGGUCCUGGUCCUUGGAGAGAAGUUUGAGCAGAGAAGGGUGGAAGAUGGAGGCAGAGAGGAUGGUGCAAGCAGGGGGUCUUUUUACCAAGACUUUUGGGGCAGGGAGGAGAAGUGGAGAUUGGGCAGAAGAAGAGAAGACAUCUUGAAGUCAUGAACCAUGGAGCUGCCUGUCAUUGGUGCUUGUGCUGUAGCUCUGUCGUGAGGAGCAGGGCAGGGGCAGUGACAUGCUGAGAGCUGGAGAAGGAGCAGCACAAAGAUGGCUGUGAGGCCUUGGUCAGGCGUGAAGUAUGUGAGCCAGGAGAGUCGUACAGCACACACGCAGGAUGGAGGGCAACAAGUCGAGCGGGGGGCUUUUUUGGCCAGGGCUGCUGUGAAAUCUGGUGUAGGGCUGGGCCAGCCGGUCCGAGUCUGUCGGAGUCCACGUAUAGGAGAAACGACGGAUGUCUAAGGAGCUUGUGGGGCGUUUGAUCCGGGCUCAUCCCUGGCACUUGGGGUGCAGGCCUGGCCCCUCUCUGGGGUGUGUUGAGGGUGAGCUCUGGGUUUGCGUUCAUGCCCCUGACUUGCUGUUGCUACAGGCCUCCCUUCAGUCUUGGGAACAGCGCUAUGUCCUGUGUGCCUGGGGGUGUCACUGGUGUCUCUCUCUUUCUACCUCUUUGCAAAAUGUCUGCAGCACUUGUUCUUUUUCUGCUCUUGUCAGGACUGGAGGGAAGGCUGUGGUGGGUUUUUUCCUGCCACCUAAAAUGGUUUCUACCUCGGGGAGGGGUCUGACUGCACCCUGUGUGCCCUGUUUAGGCUGGGUGGGGGUAUCGCCUUUGAAUUCUCGGGGGUUGCUUUUGCCCUCAGGGCUGUGAGUCCCGUGUGCCGCGUGACUUUUCCUAAUUUAUUUUUGUUUUGGUGACAUGUACGGGAGUCAUCUGGCUGAGGCUCGAGGCUCCUAAGUGGGCAUCGGGAAGAAGAGGUGGAGAUAUAGCGCCUGUGACCUGAGGAAGCUGGUGAAAGAAACGGAUGUCGGCGCAUUCGCUUUGCUGUUGCCCGGUGUGAGACUUCUGCCCAUGUGGUGGCCCUGGGCUGGAAGCCUUGCUGCGUGUGAAGCCUGCGAUAGAUGUUGGAUUGCUGCUCCCUGUGUGUUGAGGAGGAUGGGCUGCAAUGACUGGAGGCCUGGAAAAGGAGCCGUGUGGCCAGGGUCCUGGCCUGCAUGGAGGGAAGUAGGUGAGAGGACUGCAUCGUGGAAGAGCCGUGGGACAGUGUUGGAUGACAGACACGGACCGGCCGGAUGUUGCCCGCUACGUUGGAAUGUCCCUUCUGUAUUGGGAUUCUGCGUGGGGGUGUGGGGUGGGUUUGGGAGUGUCCUCAGCUUUAUGAUCCUGGAGCCAGGGGUUUGCAAGUAGUAUGUUUGGGUCAGUUUGUCUGUGCUGUGGGUGGACCUAGGGUGACCAGAGGUGAAAUCCAUUCCUGUGACCCUGUAGUUGGACGAGCACCCAGACACUUGCAGGAACCGCUGGGCAAGCAGGCCCAGAGCUUUCAACUGUUGAGCACGGCAAUGCUGGAGCCAGCUAGCAUGGAAGCAGAAGGGCUGGCCGGGCGCGGGGCCCGGGCUGCCUCUGUGGCUUCUGUGCUAGUGAGGUUGAGAAUUGCAGUGCUGGGGGGUUGGAGGUUUUGGACCUGCUUGUGCAGGGUUCUUGUUGGUGUUGGGGUGCUGGUUCUGCUGGGUCAGAGCAAUGGGUUUUAUUCUGCCUGACUGCCAUGUUUACCGUGUCCUGCAGGGCUGGGAGCCUGUCGUAGCAGUGUGUGUUUGGCUGGGGCGGGGUGGUUGUCUGGUUUGGUCCCUGAGCAGUGUGGUGAGCAUGUUUGUUAUUACCCUGAAAUAAAAUAGUUUUCUGAUAGCCUACUGUUAGGCUAACAAUAAUUUAGAUUAUUAAGAAGUAUUAGCUUUGCAGUUGAAUACAAGGCAUGACCUGUGGCCUAGCAAUGCCGCUGACCACAAGGCAGAAUGAUAGCUAAGCCUUUGCUUAUGUUAAGUAAUCAUUUUAACUGUGUUGACUAUUUUCUGAGUAAAAUGCAGCAAGUGAAUCUGUCUGUGUGCUGUAAACCAGAUACAGCAAGGAACAAGGUAAGAGGAAGAAGCCAUUGUUCUAAGUACAGUGAUCGUGUCCUUAAGAAGUAUCUAGUACUGUGCAAGUUUUUGCUAAGAUAUCAUAAUGUUACUGUUACUUACGUUAGAAAAUAUUGUUGGAAAAUCAAUGUGACCUUUGUAUGACCUUUGGUCAAUGCUGGCUGAUGCAACCUUGCAGUAAGAUUGCCAUGAUCUGUCAAUAUAGGCGGGCAGACAAGGUGAUUGGGCCCAACCGUGCGGGGUGAGCAAAGCCAAGCCAUCUUGGUGAUUUUCUCUGAGUUUUGUGCAUGCGUUAUGAAGGAGCUUAUGGAACCAGAGUUUAUAAAUCUAUGUGUUGAGUUGCAGUCGGGGGGUCUCUCUGCCCUUACGAGGACAGGGGACCUUUGGUCGAAUAAACUGAAAAGACCACACCCUCAUCUCUUGCUUAUUGGAGUCUCAGCUGGGAAACGAGCUCUGUUCGGGUUAAGAGAGUCUGCAGGUGUUCCCUUACCAGAUUGGGAGCCUGGUCAGACAAUUUCUCUCACAAUUUGGCGAGCCAGCCAGGAGCACCCAGCUCGUCGCGUUGCCGCUGCCGCCUAAACCCAACCUCCGGCCGGCCGUAACAGAGGUGAGUUCACCACGGGAGUCUUGGGUUAAGGCUGCAGACACGGCGGGACGAUAAGGUGACUCCUUCAAUUUUACUGGCAUGGUGUGGUCUUUUAUAUGUUGUGUAUGUCUUGUCUAACGUGUUAUAGGCCAGUCUGUUCUCCGGAUUCUCAAACCUGGGCACACAGGCAAUUUUAGUUAAUUGCCCGUUCGACUCUUUUGAGCCGAUAAAUCUGUGUGGCGCGUUUUAUGUCUCCAUUCGCGCACUGAGGAACCGUCUCUGUUUCUGACCUUUUAACUGGAUAAGUCCUCCAACCUGUUUGAGGCAUCUUAGAGGCCUGCCUUUCCAGGUUGGUUAGGUCUAGGGCAGCCAAGAAAGCAGGGUUUUUGGGGAGCUUAAUAGUAUAUCAGGUUAUCUGGGAAAGGGAUGUCCGCCAAGAAUGACGAUGGGACAGAAACAGUCAAUUCUGGCUAGUAGUCCUCUUGGAGAAUUGUUAAGCAACUGGAAUAAGUUAUCUGGACAUGGCCAAUUGAGUAAGAAGCGCGCUAUAGCCUUAUGUACUAGUGUCUGGCCCGGCUACACUUAUAAAAACCCUGAACUUCAGUGGCCAGUGUUGGGAUCCCUCAGUGUAGAUAAAUGAAGGUACCUCAGGGGGUUCCUAGAGGAACCCCAUCCCCGACUAAUGGAUUAUUGGUAUCUCUGGUGUGAUUUGAUGGAUUUAAUUCUGCAGAGGAAAAAAAAAAACUGAUUACUUCUGGCCGCUCAACAACGUCUGUGGUGUCUUCUCCCCCUUAUUCUCCCACUAUGCCACCAUUGGUGACUAGGGGACCAGCCAUAAUAAACCCGGCCGCUUAGGCCGUGGCCCUUCCGGCACCUUUUACCCCUCCAUCAGGCUCCUCUCCUCCCGUAACAGGAGUGUCAGGGUCUGUACCUGCCUCCUCGGAGCCUACUUUCAGUCCCAUAGCAGGACAUACUAGGUAGCGUUUGAAUCAGGUCAUACACCUGCUGUUGUACACAUGUAAUGACAUCUGCACACCCCCAUCACACAUGCAGUCACGCCUGUUCAGAGUCCCUUACAGACACGCGCCUGCACAGAACCCCAAAACACACUGCGACAUACACAUGUGCCCCAACAGGUGUCCGUGACACACUUGCACACAAAUGUGCAUCCUCGCACACAUGCAUGUGCACAGUCUCACACACGCACCCAGAGCCCAGGUGCUUGUGACACGUGCAUGCUCACACACAUGGAACUCAGGUGUCUGACACACAUGCAUAUGUGCUCUCGCGGACACAGUCUAGCACACAUGUACAGAACCCAAGUGUCUGUGGCACACAGGCAAGUACCCUGACAUAUUCACAUUCACACACACACAAGCCCACAUGGGUAGAUAUGAAUCAACCUGCCCCCAAUGAUGUGUGCAAUUAUUGUAAACAAUUGGGGCAUUGGAGACGAGAACGCCCAAACUGCCCUAAGGGACUUCCCCCUUAUGGAGGAAGAAAGGGGGGAACCCAGGGAAACAACCGGGCUGCCAGCACCGAUCCUACAGAUCCCUGGGUCCAGAGUUUGCAAGAAGAUAUAGAUGACUCCCAGUGAAAUAAGGGGGCGGCUCUUCCACACGAUGUAUUUAGGGGAAUCUUCCUCUUUUGAGUAUACCUGCGCCCCUUCAUCCCCUUAUGUACCACUUCAAAUAGCAGGAAAAUUUAUAAAUGUCUUAUAGAUAGAGGAGCAGAUCUGUCCUCACUGGGAGAAUCUCCAGAAAGGGCGGGAAUUGCAGUCUCAGGAUCUGAAAAGAUUAUGAGAGUAAUUGGAAAAUCUAUGCAAGUGCCCCGUGGCACUGAAACACAAGUGCAGAUAGGACCCUUGACCACUAUUCAUGCUUUCCUAUUAGCUGAAGGAACUGUAGUGCACCUCCUUGGAAGAAAUCUACUCUAUAAACUACAGACCAGAAACCCUUCACCCUACUUACUCAUGAGAAUCAAGGCGUUGCUUCAGGUGUCUUAACUCAGCCAUGGGGAGUUUCUAAUCGUCCCAUAGCAUACUAUUCUGCUCAGUUAGAUCCUGUAGCAAGGGCAGCAAUUCUCUGUCUUAGAGCAGUCGCUGCUGCCGCUGUGCUAGUUCAAAAGGCUCAAGAUUUAGUGUUAGGACACUCUCUUGUGGUUGAAAUAUCUCAUUCAGUGGAAGCUCUCCUACUACAGCACAACCUCUGCCAGCAGGGACCAACGCCCAGGCCGCUGAGCUAGCGGCACUCUGACGAGCAUGCAAAUUGGCCACAGCCUCCAGGGUCACUAUCUAUACUGACUCUAAAUAUGCUUUUAGUAUCUGUCAUGCGCUAGGACAGUCCUGGUGACAAAGAGGUUUUAUCACGUCCUCUGAUGCUGUAAUCAGCAAUGCCACGGAAGUCCAAGAACUGCUAGAGGCUGUCGUGUUACCAGGUGAUAUAGCGGUAAUGCACGGUCCCAGACAUUCCAGAGAAGAUACUGACAUCGCUAAAGGAAAGCAUCUCGCAGAUGCUGUAGCUAGAGCCGCUGCACUACAAACUAAAGGAAGUCUCCUUGCAUCUCAAGUUGUUCUUCCACCCUUGUCUGUUAUUUAUGACAAAGUCCCAGCGGAUGAAGUAUCUAUAUGGGUCCAAAAGUGGGAAGCUGCGCAAGGAAAGGAUGGAGUGUGACGUGUGCCAGACGGUAGACCAAUUGCUCCUCGCACCUUGCUCCGAAGUCUGGCUCAGGAUGCCCACAGAUGCUGUCAGUCGGGAAAAGGAGAAAUAGCAGAACAGGUCCUCUCCACCUGGUUUGCUCCAGGUAUACAUCUAGAAGCUGCCCGAAUAACUCUGCAAUGUUCAGAGUGCAGAGCCUUCAACAAAUACAGAGGACACACAAAAUUACAAGGGGCCCGACCGUGGGCCUAUUUACCCUUUGAAAAACGACAUGGAUUUGCUCAAAGCUGUAAAUUUCAAGCACUGCCUAGUAGUGGUAGAUCAAGUAACAGGAUGGCCAGAAGCUUUCCCCACUCGAGAAGCGGAUUCAGUAGCAGUAGCCAAACCCGUAUUAAAAGAAAUCAUCCCACAUUUCGGCAUUCCAGGAGGAAUAAACUCUGACUGGGGAACUCACUUUACAGAAACUGUUUUAAAAGAAGUUUACAGAGUUUUUGGAAUAAUAACAUACUUGCACGCCCCCUAUCGCCCUCUGUCCUUGGGUCAGGUAGAGAGUAUGAAUCAGAGUAUAAAAUCCCUUUUAGGAAAGAUCUGCUCCUAAACCAAAUUGAAAUGGUCAGAUGCUUUACCAAGGGUGCUGUUCGCUAUAAGAACAAAACCCAAAUGGCCUCUCAACCUUGUCCCCCUACGAGUUGUUGUUUGGUCACGCUCCUGUUAUAUAAGAGAUGGGAAAAUCUGCAUGUUAGCUUACUCGGCGGAGAUGAAGCUUUAAUUAGUUAUGUUUUAUCCUUACAGGAGUCUCUCUAGUGUUUACACAGGUCAGCUGCUUUGGUUCAGCCGGUACCCCUGGACUGUAACCUUCACUCCUAUCAAUCGGGACGCUGAGUUUGGGUAAAACAGCAUCGGCGAAAAACCGCCUCGGCCCAAGUCUGGGCAGGUCCGUACCAAGUUCUUCUUACUAUACACGCUGCUGUGAAAAUCGCCCAGAAAGAGGGCCGGAUUCAUCGCGGUCGCCUCAAACCUGGUAUCGGCAAGUAAUGACCGGUCAGCUGCUGUUCCGCCUUUGUGGCUAGAAAGAAUCGGAGAAUCGUGGACCGUUCAGACUCCUUAAUAGAAAUGAUACGUGUAUUAAGCUUGCUUUGUAUUAUCUUUCUUGUUAUACUUUGUGUUUGUAUUUCACUGUGGAUGCAGGGAAGGUUAUAAGUUAAUAAUGGCAUUUCACCGGGCUAUCCUAACAGGAUUAUUGCUCUUGAUGCAUAAAACACCAUGGCUAUUUAUGGGAAAGCGAUACAGAACAGGAAGACCAGUGGAAAGAUAAUACUUACCUGAUUUCCACUAUAGCUAUAGCACAGGCCCUAAAAUUUGUCUAAUGGUUGGAUAUGUGGUACACAGCCUCCUUCUACUAACUUUCCACCCUAUCCUUUAAUCUCUUGGGAAGGGUUUUUUUCUAAUCCAGAGUGGGUUGAUACGGAUAGAGCUGGAAUAAGUACCUGGCAGGACAAUCCUUAUUUUAAAGAGAGAGUACUUUCAGACAUCAUGUUAUCUGCCCAGGUGUGUUGGGAAAAAAGUUAGUGUUAUCUUACACAUUGCAAUCUGUUAUCCUGUACUCCGCUGUACCAUCUUCUUCCCUCUGGCCCCCCCCCCCCCCCCCGCCUUAUCUUAUCUGACUUCUAGCUGCAGCUGGUACCCAGUACACAGACUUAAUUUCUGCUUUUUUCUAACAAAAUGGUUAGGGCACUUGACAUAAGAAAAUAGUUGGCUUAGAGAUCAUUCUGUCUUGUGGUCAGGAAAACUGCUAGGCCACAGGUCAUGCCUAGUGUUUAGCUACGAAGCUAAUACUAUGUAAUAAUCUAAAUUACCCUGAAAUUAAAUAGUUUUCUAUAGUAUACUGUUCACAAGAAAGACAAACUUGCCCAUCACUCUGACUGUGAGGUGGAAGAGGUGCCAGGAGGAUGUGUGGGGUCUGAGUUGUGCCUUGGUGUGUGCUUAGUUGGGUGAGAGGGGUGCGAAGCUGCCUGGGUGUGGUGGGAUCGUGCUCUGCUCCCUUGCUUGUUUGCUUUGUUUGGUGAUGUUUGUGUGUGUCCUUGUGUUGUUUGUUGUGAGGCUGGCAAUGUUUUCUUCCUGGUGGUUUGUUUUGUACAUGGCUGUUUGCUCACCUCCUGUCUACUGAGCUUUUUGUAUGUAACAUGUAGAGGAACUUGUGGGCCAGCCUGGAAAAAUAAAAUAAAGGAGAAAUGGUUUUGGCA